GGCUCGGUAGCUCAUUUGGUAAAGCGCUCGUUAAACAUACAAGAGUCCUGGGUUCGAUCCCAGCCGAGCAC
RNAcentral lists this transfer RNA (71 nucleotides) under Aedes aegypti (yellow fever mosquito). It matches the Rfam family "tRNA". From Rfam's summary of the family: Transfer RNA (tRNA) molecules are approximately 80 nucleotides in length. Their secondary structure includes four short double-helical elements and three loops (D, anti-codon, and T loops). The record is from Rfam by way of RNAcentral. Lineage: Eukaryota; Metazoa; Arthropoda; Insecta; Diptera; Culicidae.